UAAGAAAAAUAGAAACGGAGAAAUGAAGGG
Molecule: non-coding RNA, 30 nt
Filed under: Rattus norvegicus (Norway rat)
Lineage: Eukaryota; Metazoa; Chordata; Mammalia; Rodentia; Muridae
Source: RNAcentral